Molecule: ribosomal RNA, 581 nt
Filed under: uncultured bacterium
Lineage: Bacteria
Description: partial 16S ribosomal RNA
Rfam family: Bacterial small subunit ribosomal RNA
Source: RNAcentral
UGGGGAAUUUUGGACAAUGGGGGAAACCCUGAUCCAGCCAUCCCGCGUGUGCGAUGAAGGCCUUCGGGUUGUAAAGCACUUUUGGCAGGAAAGAAACGUCGCGGGUUAAUACCCCGCGAAACUGACGGUACCUGCAGAAUAAGCACCGGCUAACUACGUGCCAGCAGCCGCGGUAAUACGUAGGGUGCAAGCGUUAAUCGGAAUUACUGGGCGUAAAGCGUGCGCAGGCGGUUCGGAAAGAAAGAUGUGAAAUCCCAGAGCUUAACUUUGGAACUGCAUUUUUAACUACCGGGCUAGAGUGUGUCAGAGGGAGGUGGAAUUCCGCGUGUAGCAGUGAAAUGCGUAGAUAUGCGGAGGAACACCGAUGGCGAAGGCAGCCUCCUGGGAUAACACUGACGCUCAUGCACGAAAGCGUGGGGAGCAAACAGGAUUAGAUACCCUGGUAGUCCACGCCCUAAACGAUGUCAACUAGCUGUUGGGGCCUUCGGGCCUUGGUAGCGCAGCUAACGCGUGAAGUUGACCGCCUGGGGAGUACGGUCGCAAGAUUAAAACUUAAAAUGAAUUGACGGGGGUCAUAGCUG